AGCUUGCUCCCGGAAGAUUAGCGGCGGACGGGUGAGUAACACGUGGGCAACCUACCUGUAAGUCUGGGAUAACUUCGGGAAACCGGAGCUAAUACCGGAUAAUUUCUUUCUUCGCAUGAAGAAAGGUUGAAAGACGGCUUUGCUGUCACUUACAGAUGGGCCCGCGGCGCAUUAGUUAGUUGGUGAGGUAACGGCUCACCAAGACCACGAUGCGUAGCCGACCUGAGAGGGUGAUCGGCCACACUGGGACUGAGACACGGCCCAGACUCCUACGGGAGGCAGCAGUAGGGAAUCUUCCGCAAUGGACGAAAGUCUGACGGAGCAACGCCGCGUGAGUGAAGAAGGUCUUCGGAUCGUAAAACUCUGUUAUCAGGGAAGAACAAGUACCGGAGUUACUGCCGGUACCUUGACGGUACCUGACCAGAAAGCCACGGCUAACUACGUGCCAGCAGCCGCGGUAAUACGUAGGUGGCAAGCGUUGUCCGGAAUUAUUGGGCGUAAAGCGCGCGCAGGCGGUUCUUUAAGUCUGAUGUGAAAUCUUGCGGCUCAACCGUGAGCGGUCAUUGGAAACUGGAGAACUUGAGUGCAGAAGAGAAGAGCGGAAUUCCACGUGUAGCGGUGAAAUGCGUAGAGAUGUGGAGGAACACCAGUGGCGAAGGCGGCUCUUUGGUCUGUAACUGACGCUGAGGCGCGAAAGCGUGGGGAGCGAACAGGAUUAGAUACC
This 724-nucleotide ribosomal RNA is filed under the name Bacillus sp. MO-07. RNAcentral's name for it is "bacterial SSU rRNA". It matches the Rfam family "Bacterial small subunit ribosomal RNA", at positions 77 to 786 of the family's 1533-position model. Lineage: Bacteria; Bacillati; Bacillota; Bacilli; Caryophanales; Bacillaceae. The record is from RNAcentral.